This 487-nucleotide ribosomal RNA is filed under the name uncultured bacterium. Its description in RNAcentral is "bacterial SSU rRNA". It matches the Rfam family "Bacterial small subunit ribosomal RNA", at positions 27 to 507 of the family's 1533-position model. The record is from RNAcentral.
GGAUGAACGCUAGCUACAGGCUUAACACAUGCAAGUCGAGGGGUCUCGCGGAAGCUUGCUUCAAGAGACGACCGGCGCACGGGUGAGUAACGCGUAUCCAACCUGCCCUUCAUAUUGGGAUAGCCUUCCGAAAGGAAGAUUAAUACCCGAAUAACCAUAGAGUGGUUGCCUGAUUUCUCUAUGAAAGCUCCGGCGAUGAAGGAUGGGGAUGCGUUCCAUUAGGUAGUAGGCGGGGUAACGGCCCACCUAGCCGACGAUGGAUAGGGGUUCUGAGAGGAAGGUCCCCCACACUGGAACUGAGACACGGUCCAGACUCCUACGGGAGGCAGCAGUGAGGAAUAUUGGUCAAUGGGCGCAAGCCUGAACCAGCCAAGUAGCGUGAAGGAAGACUGCCCUAUGGGUUGUAAACUUCUUUUAUACGGGAACAAACCCUGGUACGUGUACCAGAUUGCGUGUACCGUAUGAAUAAGCAUCGGCUAACUCCGUG